This 870-nucleotide long non-coding RNA is filed under the name Bos taurus (domestic cattle). RNAcentral describes it as "long non-coding RNA NONBTAT018528". Lineage: Eukaryota; Metazoa; Chordata; Mammalia; Artiodactyla; Bovidae. The record is from RNAcentral.
GCUGAGUUUACUCUGGGUAGGGAAGGCGGAGGUGUGGUCAGGGUCCUGGAUCUUUCUCCAGGAAAAUCUCAGAGGUGUGUGUAUUUUAAGUUUCAAGGUUAAUUAACUUACCAGUCUUGACAUGUUUCAUGUUCUAGAGAUUCUCCAUGGUCAGCAAUAAAUUGGUACAUGACAAACCAAACAAUUCUAUGUCAAAUAGGAAGUAGAUAAAUGCAUAUUUUACAUUUAUAUGAUGGAUAUGUGAAGAUGUGUAUCCCUCAUCUCAGAAUUGAGGGGUAAGGGUAUGUGUGUGAAACAAAGAGGAUAGUUUGUGUUAUUUCUUCUUGGAAUGAGUUAGCUACGAGUUAGCUAUAUUUGUAUUUCGAGAGUAAGCUACAAUAGAAAUAAAGCUGGAGACUUCACAUAUUUUUGUGCUUUAACAGACACUCUUUAGAUACUAUCUAUAAAUCCACUUUCUAGAGAUUCUUCUUGCUAAAAAAUCAAAUUGUAUUAACUUCAUUGCAGAAAAAAUUUAAAAAUAAUCUUUGACAUUCAGCUACUGUGGGCUCUCCCAAGAGAUCUUAAUGGAGAUAUUAAGGCAAAUAAUCCAUUGUGUUUCACUGUAAUGCUUUAAAAUAUCCCACAGCCCUUGCUUUAGGGAAGCAAAGUGUUUCUUACAGUGUGAUUUUAUAUGCUUUUUUACAUUCAUACUGAAUUUAUUUUCCUUUUUACAUCUUUAGUUUCAUUUUAGCCUUUUCUGCUUCUAUUAAAAGUUUAGUUUUGUGGCUAAUAUUUUUCUACUUUCUAAGUUUGUAUACUUCAUAUUUCUGAAAAAUAAAUGUAAUCAUUGUAUUUGUCAGUUUUAAAAUUGGAAUUCAUACACAGAAAUGG